AUGUCUCUGGGGCUUCCCUUGAACCUCCCUCUGCCUCCAGAGGAAGAAGCCCCAAAUUCCGCCACCCCCCAGGAGCUGGGAGCCAACCCGGGGCUGGCCCGGCUGCUCCGGGAUUUGGGGGGGCUGCUGGGGGGGGAUGGGCUGAGCCCCCCGCUGCAGAAGGAGCUGCGCCAGGCCGAGGUGUCCCUGUGCCGGGCCCGGGCGCUUUGGCUGCGCCUGGAGCUGCUCUGGAGGAUUUUGGGGGAGCUGAUCCGGGACCCCCGAGAUUUGGAGCCUUCUGUGAGUCCCAAAAUCCCCCAAAAAAUCCUCCCAAAAUCCCCCCAAAAUCCCCUCAAAAUCCUCCCAAAAUCCCCCCAAAAUUCCCUGAAAAAUUCCCAAAAAAUUCCCAAAAAUUCCCCAAAAAUUGCCCUUAAAUUCCACCUAAAUUCCCUCAAAAAUUCCCCCAAAAUUUCCCCAAAAUUCCCUCAAAAAAUUCCCCCCAAAUUCCUCAAAAAUUCCGAAAAAUUCUCUCAAAAGUUCCCCCUAAAAUCCUUCAAAAUCCCCCCAAAAUUCCCUCAAAAUUUCCCAAAAAUUCCCAAAAAUUCCCUCAAAAUUCCCAAAAAAAUUCCCCCAAAAUCCCCAAAAAAUUCCCAAAAAAUUCCCCAAAAUCCUCUAAAAAUUCUCUUAAAAAUUCCCAAAAAUUCCCCAAAAAUCCCUAAAAAAUCCUCCCAAAAUCCCCCCAAAAUCCCUCAAAUCCACCCAAAUUCCCCCAAAUUUCCCCCAAAAUCCCUCAAAAUCCCCCCCCAAAUUCCCUCCAAUUUUCCCAAAUUGUCCCAAAUUCCCUCAAAUUCCUCCAAAAUUCCCCUGAAUUCCCUCAAAUUCCCCCAAAUUCCCCCCAAAGCCCCCCCAAAUUCCCUCAAAUUUCCCCCCAAAUCCCUCAAAAAUUCCCAAAAAAUUGCCCUUAAAUUCCACCCAAAUUCCCUCAAAAAUUCCCCCAAAAUUUCCCCAAAAUUCCCUCAAAAAAUUCCCCCCAAAUUCCUCAAAAAUUCCCUCAAAAAUUCCCAAAAAUUCCCCAAAAAAUUCCCAAAAACUUCCCAAAAAAUUCCUCAAAAUCCUCCAAAAAUUCCCUCAAAAAUUCCUAAAAAAUUCCCUCAAAAUUCCCCCAAAAAAUCCCCCCAAAAUCCCCCAAAAUAUCCCCCAAAAUCCCCCCAAAAUUCCCUCAAAAAUUCCCAAAAAAUCCCCCCAAAAUCCUUAAAAAUCCUCCCAAAAUUCCCUCAAAAAUUCCCUCAAAAAUUCCCAAGAAAUUCCCAAAAAAUUCCCCAAAAUCCUCUAAAAAUUCCCUCAAAAAUUCCCAAAAAUUCCCCAAAAAUUCCCAAAAAAUUCCCCAAAAUCCUCCAAAAAUUCCCUCAAAAAUUCCUAAAAAAUUCCCUCAAAAUUCCCUCAAAAAAUUCCAAAAAAUCCCCCAAAAAUUCCCAAAAAUUCCCUCAAAAUUCCCUCAAAAAAUUAAAAAAAAAUCCCCAAAAAAGUCCCAAAAAAUUCCCCAAAAUCCUCUAAAAAUUCCCUCAAAAAAUUCCAAAAAAUCCCAAAAAAAUUCCCCAAAAUCCUCUAAAAAUUCCCUCAAAAAUUCCCAAAAAAUUCCCAAAAAAUUCCCAAAAAAUUCCCCAAAAAUUCCCAAAAAUUCCCCAAAAAAUCCCCAAAAAAUUCCCAAAAAAUUCCCCAAAAUCCUCUAAAAAUUCCCUCAAAAAUUCCCAAAAAUUCCCCAAAAAUUCCCAAAAAAUUCCCCAAAAUCCUCUAAAAAUUCUCUCAAAAAUUCCCAAAAAUUCUCCCAAAAUUCCCUCAAAAAUUCCCAAAAAUUACCAAAAACUUUCCCAAAAAAUUCCCUCAAAAAUUCCCUCAAAAUCCCCAAAAAAUUCCCAAAAAAUCCCCAAAAAUUCCCCAAAAAAUUCCCAAAAAAUUCCCAAAAAAUUCCCAAAAAUUCCCAAAAAUUCCCAAAAAAUUCCCAAAAAUUCCCCAAAAAAUUCCCAAAAAUUCCCAAAAAAUUCCCCA
RNAcentral lists this long non-coding RNA (2025 nucleotides) under Cyanistes caeruleus (blue tit). RNAcentral's name for it is "lncRNA (ENSCCEG00000003445.1)". Lineage: Eukaryota; Metazoa; Chordata; Aves; Passeriformes; Paridae. The record is from RNAcentral.